UACGAAGGGGGCUAGCGUUGCUCGGAAUCACUGGGCGUAAAGCGCACGUAGGCGGGUCCUUAAUUCAGGGGUGAAAUCCCGGAGCUCAACUCCGGAACUGCCUUUGAUACUGGGGAUCUUGAGUCCGGAAGAGGUGAGUGGAACUCCGAGUGUAGAGGUGAAAUUCGUAGAUAUUCGGAAGAACACCAGUGGCGAAGGCGGCUCACUGGUCCGGUACUGACGCUGAGGUGCGAAAGCGUGGGGAGCAAACAGG
This 253-nucleotide ribosomal RNA is filed under the name uncultured bacterium. Its description in RNAcentral is "partial 16S ribosomal RNA". It matches the Rfam family "Bacterial small subunit ribosomal RNA", at positions 524 to 776 of the family's 1533-position model. The record is from RNAcentral.